UUGACCUCGAAUCAGGUAGGAAUACCCGCUGAACUUAAGCAUAUCAAUAAGCGGAGGAAAAGAAACCAACAGGGAUUGCCCCAGUAACGGCGAGUGAAGCGGCAACAGCUCAAAUUUGAAAUCUGGCUCUCGGGCCCGAGUUGUAAUUUGUAGAGGAUGCUUUUGGUGAGGUGCCUUCCGAGUUCCCUGGAACGGGACGCCAUAGAGGGUGAGAGCCCCGUCUGGUUGGACACCGAUCCUCUGUAAAGCUCCUUCGACGAGUCGAGUAGUUUGGGAAUGCUGCUCUAAAUGGGAGGUAUAUGUCUUCUAAAGCUAAAUACCGGCCAGAGACCGAUAGCGCACAAGUAGAGUGAUCGAAAGAUGAAAAGAACUUUGAAAAGAGAGUUAAACAGUACGUGAAAUUGUUGAAAGGGAAGCGCUUGUGACCAGACUUGGGCUUGGUUGAUCAUCCGGGGUUCUCCCCGGUGCACUCUUCCGGCUCAGGCCAGCAUCAGUUCGCCCUGGGGGAUAAAGGCUUCGGGAAUGUGGCUCUCUCCGGGGAGUGUUAUAGCCCGCUGCGUAAUACCCUGUGGCGGACUGAGGUUCGCGCAUUCGCAAGGAUGCUGGCGUAAUGGUCAUCAGUGACCCGUCUUGAAACACGGACC
This 644-nucleotide ribosomal RNA is filed under the name Fusarium solani. RNAcentral's name for it is "eukaryotic LSU rRNA". It matches the Rfam family "Eukaryotic large subunit ribosomal RNA", at positions 1 to 667 of the family's 3401-position model. Lineage: Eukaryota; Fungi; Ascomycota; Sordariomycetes; Hypocreales; Nectriaceae. The record is from RNAcentral.